AUACAGGGGGUGCGAGCGUUAAUCGGAAUUACUGGGCGUAAAGAGUACGUAGGCGGUUGCUUAAGUCAGAUGUGAAAGCCCCGGGCUCAACCUGGGAACUGCAUUUGAAACUGAGUGACUAGAGUUUAAGAGAGGGGAGUAGAAUUCCGGGUGUAGCGGUGAAAUGCGUAGAGAUCCGGAGGAAUACCAGUGGCGAAGGCGGCUCCCUGGCUUAAAACUGACGCUGAGGUGCGAAAGCGUGGGUAGCAAACAGGAUUAGAUACCCUAGUAGUCC
RNAcentral lists this ribosomal RNA (274 nucleotides) under uncultured bacterium. RNAcentral describes it as "partial 16S ribosomal RNA". It matches the Rfam family "Bacterial small subunit ribosomal RNA", at positions 523 to 796 of the family's 1533-position model. The record is from RNAcentral.